This 1220-nucleotide ribosomal RNA is filed under the name metagenome. Its description in RNAcentral is "bacterial LSU rRNA". It matches the Rfam family "Bacterial large subunit ribosomal RNA", at positions 1723 to 2925 of the family's 2925-position model. The record is from RNAcentral.
CCCCCCCGUAACUUCGGGAGAAGGGGGACCAGUCCUGGUGACGACAUUUACUGUCUGAGCUGGGGUUGGUCGCAGAGACCAGAGAGAAGCGACUGUUUACUAAAAACACAGGUCCGUGCGAAGUCGUAAGACGAUGUAUACGGACUGACGCCUGCCCGGUGCUGGAAGGUUAAGAGGACCGGUCAGCCACUUCGGUGGCGAAGCUGAGAAUUUAAGCCCCAGUAAACGGCGGUGGUAACUAUAACCAUCCUAAGGUAGCGAAAUUCCUUGUCGGGUAAGUUCCGACCUGCACGAAUGGCGUAACGACUUCUCUGCUGUCUCAACCACAGACUCGGCGAAAUUGCAGUACGAGUAAAGAUGCUCGUUACGCGCGGCAGGACGAAAAGACCCCGGGACCUUCACUAUAGCUUGGUAUUGGUGUUCGGUUCGGUUUGUGUAGGAUAGGUGGGAGACUGUGAAACUCGCACGCCAGUGUGGGUGGAGUCAUUGUUGAAAUACCACUCUGACCGUAUUGGACAUCUAACCUCGGACCAUGAUCUGGUUCAGGGACAGUGCCUGGUGGGUAGUUUAACUGGGGCGGUUGCCUCCCAAAAAGUAACGGAGGCGCCCAAGGUUCCCUCAGCCUGGUUGGCAAUCAGGUGUUGAGUGUAAGUGCACAAGGGAGCUUGACUGUGAGACGUACAUGUCGAGCAGGGACGAAAGUCGGGACUAGUGAUCCGGCACCGGCAAGUGGAAGCGGUGUCGCUCAACGGAUAAAAGGUACCCCGGGGAUAACAGGCUGAUCUUCCCCAAGAGUCCAUAUCGACGGGAUGGUUUGGCACCUCGAUGUCGGCUCGUCGCAUCCUGGGGCUGGAGUAGGUCCCAAGGGUUGGGCUGUUCGCCCAUUAAAGCGGCACGCGAGCUGGGUUUAGAACGUCGUGAGACAGUUCGGUCUCUAUCCGCCGCGCGCGUAAGAAACUUGAGGAAACCUGUCCCUAGUACGAGAGGACCGGGACGGACGAACCUCUGGUGUGCCAGUUGUUCCACCAGGAGCACCGCUGGUUAGCUACGUUCGGAAGGGAUAACCGCUGAAAGCAUCUAAGCGGGAAGCCUGUUCCAAGAUGAGGUUUCUCACCACCUAGCGUGGUUAAGGCCCCCCACAGACCAUGGGGUUGAUAGGCCAGAACUGUAAGCACAGCAAUGUGUUCAGGUGACUGGUACUAAUCGGCCGAGGACUUACC